Long non-coding RNA from Sinocyclocheilus grahami, 102 nucleotides. RefSeq lists it as uncharacterized. The record is from RefSeq and is a predicted model, not a curated record. Lineage: Eukaryota; Metazoa; Chordata; Actinopteri; Cypriniformes; Cyprinidae. The transcript is spliced from 3 exons.
GGGGAGGGGCGAACCGAGACAGUGGUCCAGAAGCAGGCUGUAGCUGAGGAGAUCUGCGAGAAGGGCCCGGCGCACAUCCAGGGGACACCCCCUGCCGCACCU